GACGAACGCUGGCGGCGUGCUUAACACAUGCAAGUCGAACGGAAAGGCCCUGCUUUUGUGGGGUGCUCGAGUGGCGAACGGGUGAGUAACACGUGAGUAACCUGCCCUUGACUUUGGGAUAACUUCAGGAAACUGGGGCUAAUACCGGAUAGGAGCUCCUGCUGCAGGGUGGGGGUUGGAAAGUUUCGGCGGUUGGGGAUGGACUCGCGGCUUAUCAGCUUGUUGGUGGGGUAGUGGCUUACCAAGGCUUUGACGGGUAGCCGGGCUGAGAGGGUGACCGGCCACACUAGGACUGAGAUACGGCCCAGACUACUACGGGAGGCAGCAGUGGAGAAUAUUGCACAAGGGGCGGAAGCCUGAUGCAACAACGCCGCGUGCGGGAUGACGGCCUGCGGGUUGUAAACCGCUUUCGCCUGUGACGAAGCGUGAGUGACGGUAAUGGGUAAAGAAGCACCGGCUAACUACGUG
This 468-nucleotide ribosomal RNA is filed under the name uncultured bacterium. Its description in RNAcentral is "partial 16S ribosomal RNA". It matches the Rfam family "Bacterial small subunit ribosomal RNA", at positions 28 to 507 of the family's 1533-position model. The record is from RNAcentral.